This 503-nucleotide ribosomal RNA is filed under the name uncultured bacterium. Its description in RNAcentral is "bacterial SSU rRNA". It matches the Rfam family "Bacterial small subunit ribosomal RNA", at positions 46 to 525 of the family's 1533-position model. The record is from RNAcentral.
GGAUUAGGCAUGCAAGUCGAACGCGUGAGAGGGGCUUGCUCCUCAAGCGAGUGGCGAACGGGUGAGUAACGCGUGGGAAACCUGCCCCGAAGCGUGGAAUAACACUCCCAACGGGGUGCUAAUACCGCAUGGUAUCGCCGGGUGGCAUUAUUUGGCGAUUAAAGGUGGGGACCGUAAGGCCUGCCACUUUGGGAUGGUCCCGCGUCUGAUUAGCUUGUUGGUGAGGUAACGGCUCACCAAGGCGACGAUCAGUAGCUGGUCUGAGAGGAUGGUCAGCCACACUGGGACUGAGAUACGGCCCAGACUCCUACGGGAGGCAGCAGUCGAGAGGCUUCGGCAAUGGGCGAAAGCCUGACCGAGCGACGCCGCGUGAGCGAAGAAGGCCCUAUGGGUUGUAAAGCUCUGUCAGAUUGGGAAGAAAACCUCGUGAUUAAUACCUGCGAGGCUUGACGGUACCAUCAGAGGAAGCACCGGCUAACCCCGUGCCAGCAGCCGCGGUAAUA